ACUGUUUCAUAUUUCAUAUGAAUUUUGUCUCUUUAAGCCAGCACUGGUUGUUAUGCUUUUUUCGGUUGGCCUUAAAUUCUUAUGAUUAUCAUAAUCUGAUAUGAAAGUUUGAAUACUUAUACAUGUCUAUUAAAGUCUUUCUUGUUGACCAAGGAAGAGAUAUACACAGUAUCUUUCUUGUUUAUACCAUUGUUUUAAAUUACUUAUGGCUACUGAUUUGGUUGCUUCAGGAUUGGAUAAUUCCAGAUGUUGAAGUAGUUAUCAACUAUAGUUUUCCCCUCACCACUGAGGAUGAUGUCAACAGAAUAGGGCAGAGUGGACGGUCUGGCAAAAAAGAUGUCGCUCAUACGUUUUUCACUGUAGAACAAGGACUUGCCGGAGAGCUGGUGAAUGUUCUUAGAGAAGCUGGGCAAAUAUAUAGUGCCAGAUGCCCUAUUGAAGUUUGGCACUGAUGUAAAUAAAAAGGAGUCAAAGCUUUACGUGGCUCACUUUUAAGGAAAUUACUGCAGACGCUCAUUGGUUCUAGUUUACAAGUACCAAAAAGAAAAUAUGGAAUGUGAGUUCGGAAUUAGCAUAUACAAUUUAUUAUUAUUUUUUGUUUUGUAUUUCCUUUUGUUUUUGCAAACUUAUUUAAUAAUAUAUUUGAUUAUAGAUUCUACGAUGACCCAAAAUCUUGUGUUA
This is a long non-coding RNA of Ziziphus jujuba (common jujube), 681 nucleotides long. RefSeq lists it as uncharacterized. The transcript is spliced from 3 exons. The record is from RefSeq and is a predicted model, not a curated record. Lineage: Eukaryota; Viridiplantae; Streptophyta; Magnoliopsida; Rosales; Rhamnaceae.